AAUCAUGGCAAUUCAACACAUGCUUCUUGUGCAAGAUUGCACUUUGCUUUUCUUUACAUGUUCUAACUAGCAAAAAGCUUUCUCCCCUUUGUCAUUGUCAAAAAGAAGGGAAGACCCAUUACAUCAAUUAUGACAAAGGUAAGUAUCAAUCUUAAUUGUGCAUCAUCAUAUUUUCAAAUUAGAAUAUGCACAUUUUCAAAAAAAAACUUUAUAUUCAUUUAUGCAUGAUAUUGAAUAAAUCGAUCAACAUUAUAAGGAUAUCAUACAUGAUACUAAAAUUUUUAACUAUUUGUCAACAUUUUGAUCAUGAUACCAAAUAUUCAUCAUUUAGAGUAUUCAUGAUACAAAACAUUAAAUCAAUAUUUAUAAUACAUCAUUUUUGCGAUAACUCAUAGUAUUUUAAAUCAUGAUUUACAUCAUAUUAAUACAUCACAUCAUAAUUAGAAAGCACAAGUAUUGCAUAUAUCAUUGCAAAUCAUAUCAUGAUGGUAUCAAUUUGUCAAAUUAUAUCCUACCAAAAACUUAUCCCCAUUUGUAUUUCAUGCAUAAUUUCACUUCAUCACAUUAGGAGUAUCAAGAGGAAUUAAUUGGGUGAUGAGAUUAAUAUUUCACGAAUACAUGGAAUUGUAUAAAAAAUCAUAUCAUAAGUGUUUCAUACAUUCAUAUCAUCACAUGAAGGAAUAUAAACAAAAAUUAGUGAUGAGAUAUUACUUCAUGAAUACAAUAAAAUUCAUAUAGUAUAUCAUGGUUUAUUAGAAUUAGUCUUCCUUUUGGUGAAUAGCAAAAAGAGUGGUAGGAGAGCAAGAUCUCAAUUCAUGCAUAUCAAAUAUUCAAUCAUCAAAAUCAUGAACCAUCUAGAAAAUUCUCCUCUUUAAAUAUUCAAAGAGAGAAUCAUGAUGAACAUUCUUGGUUUACAUAAAGUUUCAAAACAUAAUUGUCAAGAUUAUGAAUACUAAAAGACUAUGAAACAUUUCGACAAAUCUCCUUUUAAAUAGAAAAAAAAAAAUCUUGAUUCAUAAAGGAUUUCAUGUUAUGAAUUUCAAGAGAUCAAGAUCAUGAUUUCAAUAAAAAAAUUAUUCAAAUUUAAAUCAUCAAAAUCAUUAUCAAAAUCCAAGAGAUUCACAAAGAUGAUACAAAUGGAUUCAUCAAAAUCAAUAAGAUUGAGCAAAAUAAUUUUCAAGAAUGUUAUCCUCUUUUCGAUUAUUUCAAAACAUAUGAUUUUGUUUCAUUUAUACCAAAUAAAAACAUUUAUCAUGUUUAAAACCGAAAGAGUAAGAUUUAUUACAACAAAAAUCAAUAAGGUACUUUCAUUAUGGUAAAAAUCAAUGAUCCAUAAAUCGUAAAAGAUUCAUCAUCCAUAAUUUCGAAAUUUAUUAAGCAUGAUCAUUAAGCAUAACACUAAAACAUGGUUUCAAAAUGUUUAAUAUUUUCAUGCAUAUCAAAUAUUUUCAAAUUCGAACAUGCAAAAUUUCAAAACUAUAUCUUCCAUUUUUCAUACAUAACUCAAUCAUCAUUAUGAGCAUAUUGUACAUGAUAUUCAAGUCAUAAAUUAUCAAGAUGUCAAGUAGAGUAGGUUAAUUUGAAUGUAUCAUUUUUAGUGAAUACCAAGAAGAAUCACAUCAUGAAAGAAUUUUGAUUUAUGGCAAAAUUUCAUGUAUCGAAUAUCGAGAAAUCAAGAUGAUAAUAUAUAUAUAAAACUAUUACAAGUUGUAUUCAAGAGAAAAAUCAUCAUUUGUUUUCAACUCAUUCAAUUUUGUCAAAUCAAUAUCAUGAUUUUGAUAUAACUCAUUUCUAAUUCAAAUCAUCAAACCAAAAUCAUUUUCAAGGGAUUCAUAUAAAUCAACAAGAUAGAGAAAAAUAAUUUUCAAGAACAAUUCUUUUCUCUUUUUAGUUAUUUAAAUUCAUGUCAUUUAUGCUAGAUAAAAAUGUGCGUCAACAUUUAGGAUCGAAAAAUGAAUUUUGUCAUAAAAACCAUCAAGACCAAUAAAUCAUAAAAAUCAUCAUGUAUAACUUUACAAUCUCAUGCAUAAAAUCAUCAAAUCAUAGCAUCAAAACUUUCAAUAAUUUCAUUACAACAUUAAGUAAGGUUUUAUUGAACAUAAUUUUGAAUGAUUCUUAUAGAUAUUUAAAAAUUUCUUUAGUUUUACUUUAUAUGAUUGACUUUAUAUUAGUAUGCUUCAAAUUUUUGUUCUUAUGUCAAAACUAUACAUCAUGUUUGAAAACCAAAGAUAAGGUUCAUAAAAAAAAUCAUCAAACCUUCCAUUCAAAAGUCAUACAUCGUCAUUGAAAUUCAAUAUGGAAAUCGUCAAAAUACAAAUUCUUACUUCUCAAGCACAUAUAUAAGAUUCAUCUUACUAGGUGUAUAAGCAUUAUAUUUAUAUCUAACAUUUUAUUGUAUUAACAUAACACAAGCAAUUUUCAAGAAAGAUAAUUAUUCAAAAGAAAAGAGAAAAUGCAUCAUGGAAAACAUCAAGUAAUUUCAAAAUAAUUAAAGAGAGUUGAGUUACUUACCUUGUAGUCGAAACCCGUCAAAGCCCAAUUCGCCGUUUCACCUUUGGAAGUUCUUGAUUCAUCCUUGGGUGC
This 2583-nucleotide long non-coding RNA is filed under the name Musa acuminata (dwarf banana). RNAcentral describes it as "long non-coding RNA (MACU_LNC010887)". Lineage: Eukaryota; Viridiplantae; Streptophyta; Magnoliopsida; Zingiberales; Musaceae. The record is from RNAcentral.